This 1068-nucleotide ribosomal RNA is filed under the name Alicyclobacillus sp. enrichment culture clone MRT18-29. Its description in RNAcentral is "bacterial SSU rRNA". It matches the Rfam family "Bacterial small subunit ribosomal RNA", at positions 336 to 1397 of the family's 1533-position model. The record is from RNAcentral. Lineage: Bacteria; Bacillati; Bacillota; Bacilli; Caryophanales; Alicyclobacillaceae.
CUCCUACGGGAGGCAGCAGUAGGGAAUCUUCCGCAAUGGGCGCAAGCCUGACGGAGCAACGCCGCGUGAGUGAGGAAGGCCUUCGGGUUGUAAAACUCAGUCACCUGGGAAGAGAGGUAUGGGGAGUGGAAUGCCCCAUACGAGACGGUACCAGGGGAGGAAGCCCCGGCUAACUACGUGCCAGCAGCCGCGGUAAUACGUAGGGGGCAAGCGUUGUCCGGAAUCACUGGGCGUAAAGCGUGCGUAGGCGGUCUUUCAAGUCCGGGGUGAAAACUCAAGGCUCAACCUUGAGAAUGCCUUGGAAACUGGGGGACUUGAGUACUGGAGAGGCAAGGGGAAUUCCACGUGUAGCGGUGAAAUGCGUAGAGAUGUGGAGGAAUACCAGUGGCGAAGGCGCCUUGCUGGACAGUGACUGACGCUGAGGCACGAAAGCGUGGGGAGCAAACAGGAUUAGAUACCCUGGUAGUCCACGCCGUAAACGAUGAGUGCUAGGUGUUGGGGGUUCAUCCCCUCAGUGCCGAAGGAAACCCAAUAAGCACUCCGCCUGGGGAGUACGGUCGCAAGACUGAAACUCAAAGGAAUUGACGGGGGCCCGCACAAGCAGUGGAGCAUGUGGUUUAAUUCGAAGCAACGCGAAGAACCUUACCAGGGCUUGACAUCCCUCUGACCGGUUCAGAGAUGGACCUUCCCUUCGGGGCAGAGGAGACAGGUGGUGCAUGGUUGUCGUCAGCUCGUGUCGUGAGAUGUUGGGUUAAGUCCCGCAGCGAGCGCAACCCUUGACCUGUGUUACCAGCACGUAAUGGUGGGGACUCACAGGUGACUGCCGGCGUAAGUCGGAGGAAGGUGGGGAUGACGUCAAAUCAUCAUGCCCUUUAUGUCCUGGGCUACACACGUGCUACAAUGGGCGGUACAACGGGAAGCGAGACCGCGAGGUGGAGCGAAACCCAAAAAGCCGUUCGUAGUUCGGAUUGCAGGCUGCAACCCGCCUGCGUGAAGCCGGAAUUGCUAGUAAUCGCGGAUCAGCAUGCCGCGGUGAAUCCGUUCCCGGGCCUUGUACACACCGCCCGU